AUGGGGAAUGUGGAGCAACACUUGGGAAAUGCAACGCCAACAACCUUGUUGCAUUAUCAGUUGAGUGAUAUGUGGAGGAGUCCUAGGGGUCCAGUGCUUCGUAUCGAGGGAUUAGCACUGGUGGCAAUUGCGUGCUCCUUCUUCCUUGUUGCCUUUGGGUCAUGUCGCCGCUGGUCCAAUAGUUGGAUUAUCCAAAAGGGUUUCUUGGCCGCACAAGUGUUAUCUUUGUCCCUUGGGACUUACAGCAUUGGCCUAAUGCAGUCUUCGCCGGUGAAGAGCGAGAUGUAUCCUAUAUGGGCUGUGUCCUUACUCACACUGUUUGGCUGCAUCGACCCAGUCACCACCUACGUCGGCCUUGAAUACAAGGGCCCACUCUUGAAGAUUAUAUUUCAGCUUUGCCUCUACUGUGGAUAUGUCUUGCUGAUGAGUGUGUCAACCAUCUCCGGUGGUGUUGGUAAAUUAGCCAUUGGCUUGCUAUCUGUCAUCACCUUCAUCAAGGGCUUUCAUAUGUCAUUGGCGCUUGUCCUGCCAAGCAGAACACGGGAAAGGAUAGAAGACUUUAUCUAUAUAGAACCCAUAGCUUUAGCAGGUGGGGGUGAGAAACUUCGAGUCCUACUAUAUGAAGACAAUCUUUAUCCAACUAGAAUGGAGGACAUACGUUCGAGCUGCAAUGAAAUGGUGGGUAAGCUAAAAUUGAAAGAGGCCACGACCAAUGGCAUUGAAGAUGUGUGCCUUGGCUACUCUCUAUCUCAUUUGUUACAACGUCGUUUCCUUGGGUUGGCCACCGCUAGGGAAAUGGAGUUGAAAAUUGAGGAAUUUGAAAAUGUUGCACAGACUGGCCGGGCCAUCGACUAUAAGAGGACCUUGAAGGCGAUUGAGGUUGAGUUGGCUUUUCUGUACGAUAUGUUUUUCACCAGCAAUUGGUUCCUUCACUGCUAUGAAUCAAAAACCUCUAGCUUCUGGGCAUUCGCUUCAUUCAUUGGGAUAUGUCUUGUUGGGGUAGCGCUUGCCAUUCCUGGGGCAAUGUCUAGCCGCCACCGUGUUACAGGCUCUAAUAGUCCUAGUGCGGGCACUAUUGUUGUUAACACCACAAGAGGUGACCUGACCAUUACUCUUGUUAUAUUGGUGUCUAUGGCUCUGCUGCAAUUGAUGCAGUUGAUACGGUGUUGGACGUCAAAUUUGGCACAAGUCGCCUUUGCCUGCCAGUAUGACAGGAACGAAUACAUCUCCAACCGAAAUAGCUGGUGGAUGAGAUUGAAAGCGUUUGUGGUUACCAGGAUGAAUUGGUUUGACAAGUACCUCUGGCAAGAUAAGCUCGGGCAGUAUUCACUAGUUGAUGAGAAAGUGAGCAGGAGAAAAGCAGAAUGUCGUAUGACGUGCGCCAUAGAAAUUGCAAAUUUAUGCGUGCUGACAUGUUAUCACUUGUCUCGGAUUGUUGGAUUGCAUUACUUUGGACGCGUGCUCUGGGAAUUGUGGGCCUGUGAUACAAGCACAGCCGUCAGGUUGCACGACGAUGUGAAGGCAUCCAUCGCCGAUUUUCUGGGCAAGAUCAAGAGCAGGAGAAUAGGGGUGGAGUGGUCGUCUUUGUUUGUGGACUAG
This 1599-nucleotide ribosomal RNA is filed under the name Triticum aestivum (bread wheat). RNAcentral's name for it is "partial small subunit ribosomal RNA". Lineage: Eukaryota; Viridiplantae; Streptophyta; Magnoliopsida; Poales; Poaceae. The record is from RNAcentral.